Molecule: transfer RNA, 67 nt
Filed under: Sabethes cyaneus
Lineage: Eukaryota; Metazoa; Arthropoda; Insecta; Diptera; Culicidae
Description: tRNA-Ser
Rfam family: tRNA
About the family: Transfer RNA (tRNA) molecules are approximately 80 nucleotides in length. Their secondary structure includes four short double-helical elements and three loops (D, anti-codon, and T loops).
Source: RNAcentral
AAUUAAUAAGCUUUUAAAGUAUUUGUCUUGAAAACAAAAGAAAGAAGUUUUACUCUUCUAUUAAUUU